ACGGGAGGCAGCAGUGAGGAAUAUUGGUCAAUGGGCGGAAGCCUGAACCAGCCAAGUCGCGUGAAGGAGGAAGGUAUUAUGUAUUGUAAACUUCUUUAGCAGGGGAGCAAUAGUCGCCACGCGUGGCGUUACGAGAGUACCCUGAGAAUAAGCAUCGGCUAACUCCGUGCCAGCAGCCGCGGUAAUACGGAGGAUGCGAGCGUUAUCCGGAUUUAUUGGGUUUAAAGGGUGCGCAGGCGGUCGUUUAAGUCAGUGGUAAAAUCGUGAGGCUCACCCUCAUCCCGCCAUUGAUACUGGAUGACUUGAUUUCGGCCGAGGUAGGCGGAAUUCGUCGUGUAGCGGUGAAAUGCAUAGAUAUGACGAAGAACCCCGAUUGCGUAGGCAGCUUACCAGACCGACAAUGACGCUCAUGCACGAAAGUGCGGGGAUCGAACAGGAUUAGAUACCCUGGUA
Molecule: ribosomal RNA, 453 nt
Filed under: uncultured Paludibacter sp.
Lineage: Bacteria; Pseudomonadati; Bacteroidota; Bacteroidia; Bacteroidales; Paludibacteraceae
Description: partial 16S ribosomal RNA
Rfam family: Bacterial small subunit ribosomal RNA
Source: RNAcentral